CGACCGGCGCACGGGUGAGUAACGCGUAUGUAAUCUACCUGUAACAGAGGGAUAACCCGGAGAAAUCCGGACUAAUACCUCAUAGCACAUAUUAUUCGCAUGAAUUUUAUGUUAAAGAGACUCGGUUACAGAUGAACAUGCGUUCCAUUAGCUAGUUGGCGGGGUUACGGCCCACCAAGGCAACGAUGGAUAGGGGUUCUGAGAGGAAGGUCCCCCACACUGGUACUGAGACACGGACCAA
This 241-nucleotide ribosomal RNA is filed under the name uncultured bacterium. RNAcentral describes it as "partial 16S ribosomal RNA". It matches the Rfam family "Bacterial small subunit ribosomal RNA", at positions 92 to 334 of the family's 1533-position model. The record is from RNAcentral.